AGAGGCUUAGGCUAGCAUGAAGACCAAGGGCCUUCAAAGCCCUUAGCGGGAGUGAGAAUCUCCCAGCCUCUG
RNAcentral lists this transfer RNA (72 nucleotides) under Ilyodon furcidens (goldbreast splitfin). Its description in RNAcentral is "tRNA-Trp". It matches the Rfam family "tRNA". Rfam says of the family: Transfer RNA (tRNA) molecules are approximately 80 nucleotides in length. Their secondary structure includes four short double-helical elements and three loops (D, anti-codon, and T loops). Further hydrogen bonds mediate the characteristic L-shaped molecular structure. tRNAs have two regions of fundamental functional importance: the anti-codon, which is responsible for specific mRNA codon recognition, and the 3' end, to which the tRNAs corresponding amino acid is attached (by aminoacyl-tRNA synthetases). tRNAs cope with the degeneracy of the genetic code in two manners: having more than one tRNA (with a specific anti-codon) for a particular amino acid; and 'wobble' base-pairing, i.e. permitting non-standard base-pairing at the 3rd anti-codon position. The record is from RNAcentral. Lineage: Eukaryota; Metazoa; Chordata; Actinopteri; Cyprinodontiformes; Goodeidae.